This is a long non-coding RNA of Helicoverpa armigera (cotton bollworm), 980 nucleotides long. RefSeq lists it as uncharacterized. Lineage: Eukaryota; Metazoa; Arthropoda; Insecta; Lepidoptera; Noctuidae. The transcript has 2 exons. The record is from RefSeq and is a predicted model, not a curated record.
AGUGUCACCGUUGAGUACUUUGUGUUUGUUAUUGUUUUAGGAGGUUUUAGAUAAAGAAAUAUAAGUAAAUAUGAUGAAUAAAAGCGACAUUAUUACAUUGAAGAAAUAAAAUAAAUCGUUUUAACAAUUAAAUACUUAAGUAUGCUGUACGUAGUGAGUACAUUCUGAUUGAAAUAAUGUCUGUAGGUUUAUAGAAAAAAGUGCGAGGUGAAAUCAGUGAACCAUGGAGGAAUUUAUCGAUAUGAUCCGACAACUGCCUUGUUUGUGGGAUACAGGCUGUAAAGACUAUCGAGAUAUGAGAAAAAAAGAUACGGCGUGGAAGCGAGUUGUCGCUGAAUUAAAAUGCAAAGACAUACCAGAUAUCAAAACAGCAAAAGCAGAAUGGAAAAAGUUACGGGACAGUCACCGAGACUCCUUAAAGAGAGCCCGGGCUUUAGCAAACGGACAAGACGCAAUAAUUAGCAACAAGUGGAAAUAUGCUGACAUAAUGGAAUUCCUUCUCCCGUACAUGAAAACGAGGAAAAGAAGAAGAUGCAUAACAGCUUCAAGCGAUGAAGACAAAGACUCUUGUUCGUCACCUGUGAACACUUUCUCGGAAAUACAACCGUCUACUUCAAACACACUGAAUUUAACCCCGGAAUCUCACAUCGAUAAAAUAGAGACCACCCUACCAAACGAACAUAUGUUCAAGAAAAGAAAAAUUGAUAAUGAAAUUGGAGAAAUUAUGAUAGACAUGGAUAGAAAUAAUUGUCAGUAUGGGGAACGGAAUAAACAUCCUUUGGACUCCUUCUUUGAAAGUAUGUGUGAGACCACAAAGCAGUUCCCGACAUGGCUUCAGUACACGGUCAAGAGAAAAAUAUUUAAUGUCAUUUCGGAAGCUGAAGAUACCUUUGAAACUUACAAAUCUCGAGAAUCAAUUUUUUAAUUUACAUUUUUCCUACAAAAGUAAUGUCUAUAGAAAUAUACCUUAAAUGAGAAAA